UGCCGCAUGGCAUGUGGGAUUUUCCCAGACCAGGGAUCGAACCUGUGUUCUCUGCAUUGGCAGGUGGGAUUCUCAACCAUUGGACCACCAGGGAAGCCCUCUCCUUUCCUUUUUAUCUUGGCAAAUGCCAUCUACACAAAAAUAGAGAGGAUAGUAUGAUGAGCCCUCAUGCGCCCAUCACUUUGCUCCAAAAGUCAAGUAUUUGCAGCUGCACCUUCCCUGUAAGGGCAGGUCUCCCCUCAUCAGGUACCAUGUGUCCAGGAUGCUGGGAGACCAAUGUCUCAAGCAGUGGGGGGAACAAAGGAGCAUUUAGCCCCCCUCUUCAGAGGUACCAUGAAGCUCACUCCCUUCUGGUGGCCCAGGCUUCCCCCUGGCAUUAGCCUUACCCCAGUCAUUCUAUUUGCAGAAAGUACCAGCCAUGCAGGUGGAAGAGGUCCUUCAAGUACACACCUACAGAUAAUCAGCUGGGCUCCCAUUGUCAUAGAUGACUGGAAUCACUGUCUUCAUUUGGAGUCUUCCUUAUUCAUCCUUGAGUGGUAACUUCCACUGUCUGGGAAAACAAGCAAGCCAGAGUCUGGGAGCACUGUCCACUUCUCCUGGGCCUCGGAGCUGCCUGUUGUGAGACCUGCACGCCCAUCUCUCCACAGGCAGCUGUUACAAGUAGUGGGAAAGCUCUCAGAACUCUUGGUCCAUGCCUGGUUAGCACCGCGGAGCUCCAAACAGAGAACACCUGCGUCUUCCCUCGGGGGCUCAUCAUCCAGCUAAAAUGCCCAGGAUUGCAGGGGAGUAAGCACUGAUCACCUGGAAACAGAAAUCUCUCUCACCUUAAAAAGGAGUAAAAAGAAGAUUAAUGUUUGAAAAUAUGAUUUGGAGGAUCACUUUCAAGCUAUCACCCACAGAAAUUUUGUGUGGCUAAAGAAGAGAUUGAUAAAACAAUGUAACCCUACAGAUAAUAAAUUCUUGAAUGACAGAAGAAAAUUCCAGUGGUGCAAUUUUCCUUCCUUUCAAAUGUGCUGGGAAGUGCAUCUGGGGGCAGGCGUCUUUGUGGAACCCGUGAAACCACAGAGCAUAGACAGCAUGCUCUGUCACUCAGCCUGAGGUUUGACCUCUGCCCAGUGAACCUCAAAGUUCAGUCCUGAAACGAGAGCCCUUCCCAUUACAUUGAGCCCAAGGACCCUCUGAGGGAGGGGAAGUUGGCAGGUGCACCCUGGGCUUCUGUGUGAAUAAACA
Molecule: long non-coding RNA, 1230 nt
Organism: Bubalus bubalis (water buffalo)
Lineage: Eukaryota; Metazoa; Chordata; Mammalia; Artiodactyla; Bovidae
Exons: 2
Source: RefSeq, a predicted model, not a curated record